This 497-nucleotide ribosomal RNA is filed under the name uncultured bacterium. RNAcentral's name for it is "partial 16S ribosomal RNA". It matches the Rfam family "Bacterial small subunit ribosomal RNA", at positions 28 to 507 of the family's 1533-position model. The record is from RNAcentral.
GAUGAACGCUGGCGGCGUGCCUAAUACAUGCAAGUCGAGCGAGCAGACGAGGAGCUUGCUCCUCUGACGUUAGCGGCGGACGGGUGAGUAACACAUGGAUAACCUACCUAUAAGACUGGGAUAACUUCGGGAAACCGGAGCUAAUACCGGAUAAUAUAUUGAACCGCAUGGUUCAAUAGUGAAAGACGGUUUUGCUGUCACUUAUAGAUGGAUCCGCGCCGCAUUAGCUAGUUGGUAAGGUAACGGCUUACCAAGGCAACGAUGCGUAGCCGACCUGAGAGGGUGAUCGGCCACACUGGAACUGAGACACGGUCCAGACUCCUACGGGAGGCAGCAGUAGGGAAUCUUCCGCAAUGGGCGAAAGCUUGACGGAGCAACGCCGCGUGAGUGAUGAAGGUCUUCGGAUCGUAAAACUCUGUUAUUAGGGAAGAACAAAUGUGUAAGUAACUAUGCACGUCUUGACGGUACCUAAUCAGAAAGCCACGGCUAACUACGUG